Molecule: long non-coding RNA, 366 nt
Filed under: Rattus norvegicus (Norway rat)
Lineage: Eukaryota; Metazoa; Chordata; Mammalia; Rodentia; Muridae
Description: long non-coding RNA NONRATT007219
Source: RNAcentral
GGCCCAGCAGAUAGCCACACUGUGUGCCACUCUUCAGGAAUACCCAUCCAUUCGCUACCGCAAGGGCCCAGAAGACACAGCCCAGCUGGCCCAUGCUGUCCUGGCCAAGCUGAACGCCUUCAAGGCAGACACUCCCAGUCUGGGCGAGGGCCCAGAGAAAACACGCUCACAGUUGCUCAUAAUGGACCGGGCAGCAGACCCCGUGUCCCCGCUAUUACAUGAACUCACAUCCUCACUCCAACCCGCUUCCUCGAUGACCUCAGGACCCUGGAUCAGAAGCUGGAGGACAUAGCCCUGCCCUGACUCAGCUGCUUGCUCUGCCCUCUCCUCCUGUUCCAGAGAAAUAAACUCUUCCCUUCAUCUUUC